RNAcentral lists this ribosomal RNA (372 nucleotides) under uncultured organism. RNAcentral describes it as "partial 16S ribosomal RNA". It matches the Rfam family "Bacterial small subunit ribosomal RNA", at positions 526 to 896 of the family's 1533-position model. The record is from RNAcentral.
GUAGGUGGGCAAGCGUUGUCCGGAAUUAUUGGGCGUGAAGCGCGCGCAGGCGGUCCUUUAAGUCUGAUGUGAAAGCCCACGGCUCAACCGUGGAGGGUCAUUGGAAACUGGGGGACUUGAGUACAGAAGAGGAAAGCGGAAUUCCAAGUGUAGCGGUGAAAUGCGUAGAGAUUUGGAGGAACACCAGUGGCGAAGGCGGCUUUCUGGUCUGUAACUGACGCUGAGGCGCGAAAGCGUGGGGAGCAAACAGGAUUAGAUACCCUGGUAGUCCACGCCGUAAACGAUGAGUGCUAAGUGUUAGGGGGUUUCCGCCCCUUAGUGCUGCAGCUAACGCAUUAAGCACUCCGCCUGGGGAGUACGGCCGCAAGGCUA